CAGCCGCCGCGGUAAUACGUAGGUCCCGAGCGUUGUCCGGAUUUAUUGGGCGUAAAGCGAGCGCAGGCGGUUAGAUAAGUCUGAAGUUAAAGGCUGUGGCUUAACCAUAGUACGCUUUGGAAACUGUUUAACUUGAGUGCAGAAGGGGAGAGUGGAAUUCCAUGUGUAGCGGUGAAAUGCGUAGAUAUAUGGAGGAACACCGGUGGCGAAAGCGGCUCUCUGGUCUGUAACUGACGCUGAGGAGCGAAAGCGUGGGGAGCGAACAGGAUUAGAGACCCGCGUAGUCCCUGUCUCUUAUACA
This 301-nucleotide ribosomal RNA is filed under the name uncultured bacterium. RNAcentral's name for it is "partial 16S ribosomal RNA". It matches the Rfam family "Bacterial small subunit ribosomal RNA", at positions 509 to 808 of the family's 1533-position model. The record is from RNAcentral.